UCCGUAGGUGAACCUGCGGAAGGAUCAUUU
Molecule: ribosomal RNA, 30 nt
Filed under: Entelexis paramagnoliae
Lineage: Eukaryota; Fungi; Ascomycota; Dipodascomycetes; Dipodascales; Trichomonascaceae
Also listed under: 9 other names
Description: Starmerella magnoliae partial 18S ribosomal RNA
Source: RNAcentral